This 549-nucleotide ribosomal RNA is filed under the name Vibrio sp. PB14. RNAcentral's name for it is "bacterial SSU rRNA". It matches the Rfam family "Bacterial small subunit ribosomal RNA", at positions 66 to 600 of the family's 1533-position model. Lineage: Bacteria; Pseudomonadati; Pseudomonadota; Gammaproteobacteria; Vibrionales; Vibrionaceae. The record is from RNAcentral.
ACGAGUUAUCUGAACCUUCGGGGAACGAUAACGGCGGCGAGCGGCGGACGGGUGAGUAAUGCCUAGGAAAUUGCCCUGAUGUGGGGGAUAACCAUUGGAAACGAUGGCUAAUACCGCAUGAUGCCUACGGGCCAAAGAGGGGGACCUUCGGGCCUCUCGCGUCAGGAUAUGCCUAGGUGGGAUUAGCUAGUUGGUGAGGUAAGGGCUCACCAAGGCGACGAUCCCUAGCUGGUCUGAGAGGAUGAUCAGCCACACUGGAACUGAGACACGGUCCAGACUCCUACGGGAGGCAGCAGUGGGGAAUAUUGCACAAUGGGCGCAAGCCUGAUGCAACCAUGCCGCGUGUAUGAAGAAGGCCUUCGGGUUGUAAAGUACUUUCAGUCAAAUUAAAGGCAGCGUCGUUAGGAGCGGCAUUAUUUGACGUUAGCGACACAAGAAGCACCGGCUAACUCCGUGCCAGCAGCCGCGGUAAUACUGAGGGUGCGAGCGUUAAUCGGAAUUACUGGGCGUAAAGCGCAUGCACGUGGUUUGUUAAGUCAGAUGUGAAAC